RNAcentral lists this ribosomal RNA (253 nucleotides) under uncultured bacterium. RNAcentral describes it as "partial 16S ribosomal RNA". It matches the Rfam family "Bacterial small subunit ribosomal RNA", at positions 524 to 776 of the family's 1533-position model. The record is from RNAcentral.
UACGUAGGGUGCGAGCGUUGUCCGGAAUUAUUGGGCGUAAAGAGCGUGUAGGCGGUUCGGUAAGUCUGCCGUGAAAACCUGGGGCUCAACCCCGGGCGUGCGGUGGAUACUGCCGGGCUAGAGGGUGGUAGAGGCGAGUGGAAUUCCCGGUGUAGCGGUGAAAUGCGCAGAUAUCGGGAGGAACACCGGUGGCGAAGGCGGUUCUCUGGGCCUUACCUGACGCUGAGGAGCGAAAGCGUGGGGAGCGAACAGG